This 416-nucleotide long non-coding RNA is filed under the name Homo sapiens (human). RNAcentral's name for it is "LHRI_LNC1566.1". The record is from RNAcentral. Lineage: Eukaryota; Metazoa; Chordata; Mammalia; Primates; Hominidae.
AGCGAGCUACUUGGGAGGCUGAGACUGGAGAAUUGCUUGAACCCACAAGGCAGAGGUUGAAGUGAGCCAGGAUCGCGACACUUCACCCCAGUGUGGGUGACAGAGCAAGACUCUGUCUAAAAAAAAAAAAGAAAAAUGAAAUACUGGUAUUGACAUAUUUAGAACAAUUGCCUACACAGAACCAUAUUCAUUCAUUUAAACAAUACUUAUAGAGUGUCUAAUAUAUGUGAGGCAGCAGUGAUUGUAAUCAGUGCUUUGAACAAAAUACACAAAAUAAGGUAAUAUUUCCCUAAUGAGUUGGCUUUUGAACAGAGACAUCAAGGACGUGGGGAGGAGGCAUUGUGACCAUCGGGGAAGGAUAUGCUAAACAGGCUGGGCGUGGUGGCUCACGCCUGUAAUCCCAGCACUUUGGAAGG